This 640-nucleotide ribosomal RNA is filed under the name uncultured bacterium. Its description in RNAcentral is "bacterial SSU rRNA". The stretch from base 1 to 536 matches the Rfam family "Bacterial small subunit ribosomal RNA", at positions 338 to 873 of the family's 1533-position model. The record is from RNAcentral.
CCUACGGGAGGCAGCAGUGAGGAAUAUUGGACAAUGGGCGCAAGCCUGAUCCAGCCAUGCCGCGUGCAGGGAGAAGCAUCUAUGGUGUGUAAACUGCUUUUGUACAGGAAGAAACACUCCCUCGUGAGGGAGCUUGACGGUACUGUAAGAAUAAGGAUCGGCUAACUCCGUGCCAGCAGCCGCGGUAAUACGGAGGAUCCAAGCGUUAUCCGGAAUCAUUGGGUUUAAAGGGUCCGUAGGCGGUUUGGUAAGUCAGUGGUGAAAGCCCAUCGCUCAACGGUGGAACGGCCAUUGAUACUGCUAGACUUGAAUUAUUGUGAAGUAACUAGAAUAUGUAGUGUAGCGGUGAAAUGCUUAGAGAUUACAUGGAAUACCAAUUGCGAAGGCAGGUUACUAACAAUAUAUUGACGCUGAUGGACGAAAGCGUGGGGAGCGAACAGGAUUAGAUACCCUGGUAGUCCACGCCGUAAACGAUGGAUACUAGCUGUUGGGAGUAAUCUCUAGUGUCGUAGACGAAGUAGAGUAAGUAUACCACCGUCGGGAGGUACGUUACGUCGAAGAAGUAGAACGUACGUAAGUAGUAAGUUAGUACGGACGUAGAGACGUUACGACCGACGGACGACGACGAGGGAGGAGGGAG